This 1362-nucleotide ribosomal RNA is filed under the name Leuconostoc mesenteroides. RNAcentral describes it as "bacterial SSU rRNA". It matches the Rfam family "Bacterial small subunit ribosomal RNA", at positions 66 to 1415 of the family's 1533-position model. The record is from RNAcentral. Lineage: Bacteria; Bacillati; Bacillota; Bacilli; Lactobacillales; Lactobacillaceae.
ACAGCGAAAGGUGCUUGCACCUUUCAGUGAGUGGCGAACGGGUGAGUAACACGUGGACAACCUGCCUCAAGGCUGGGGAUAACAUUUGGAAACAGAUGCUAAUACCGAAUAAAACUUAGUGUCGCAUGACACAAAGUUAAAAGGCGCUUCGGCGUCACCUAGAGAUGGAUCCGCGGUGCAUUAGUUAGUUGGUGGGGUAAAGGCCUACCAAGACAAUGAUGCAUAGCCGAGUUGAGAGACUGAUCGGCCACAUUGGGACUGAGACACGGCCCAAACUCCUACGGGAGGCUGCAGUAGGGAAUCUUCCACAAUGGGCGAAAGCCUGAUGGAGCAACGCCGCGUGUGUGAUGAAGGCUUUCGGGUCGUAAAGCACUGUUGUAUGGGAAGAACAGCUAGAAUAGGAAAUGAUUUUAGUUUGACGGUACCAUACCAGAAAGGGACGGCUAAAUACGUGCCAGCAGCCGCGGUAAUACGUAUGUCCCGAGCGUUAUCCGGAUUUAUUGGGCGUAAAGCGAGCGCAGACGGUUUAUUAAGUCUGAUGUGAAAGCCCGGAGCUCAACUCCGGAAUGGCAUUGGAAACUGGUUAACUUGAGUGCAGUAGAGGUAAGUGGAACUCCAUGUGUAGCGUUGGAAUGCGUAGAUAUAUGGAAGAACACCAGUGGCGAAGGCGGCUUACUGGACUGCAACUGACGUUGAGGCUCGAAAGUGUGGGUAGCAAACAGGAUUAGAUACCCUGGUAGUCCACACCGUAAACGAUGAACACUAGGUGUUAGGAGGUUUCCGCCUCUUAGUGCCGAAGCUAACGCAUUAAGUGUUCCGCCUGGGGAGUACGACCGCAAGGUUGAAACUCAAAGGAAUUGACGGGGACCCGCACAAGCGGUGGAGCAUGUGGUUUAAUUCGAAGCAACGCGAAGAACCUUACCAGGUCUUGACAUCCUUUGAAGCUUUUAGAGAUAGAAGUGUUCUCUUCGGAGACAAAGUGACAGGUGGUGCAUGGUCGUCGUCAGCUCGUGUCGUGAGAUGUUGGGUUAAGUCCCGCAACGAGCGCAACCCUUAUUGUUAGUUGCCAGCAUUCAGAUGGGCACUCUAGCGAGACUGCCGGUGACAAACCGGAGGAAGGCGGGGACGACGUCAGAUCAUCAUGCCCCUUAUGACCUGGGCUACACACGUGCUACAAUGGCGUAUACAACGAGUUGCCAACCCGCGAGGGUGAGCUAAUCUCUUAAAGUACGUCUCAGUUCGGAUUGUAGUCUGCAACUCGACUACAUGAAGUCGGAAUCGCUAGUAAUCGCGGAUCAGCACGCCGCGGUGAAUACGUUCCCGGGUCUUGUACACACCGCCCGUCACACCAUGGGAGUUUGU